CCGUUGGCUUUUUAGACCGUGAGGGUUCAAGUCCCUCUACCCCCAUUAAA
This 50-nucleotide transfer RNA is filed under the name Odontoschisma bifidum. RNAcentral's name for it is "partial tRNA-Leu". The record is from RNAcentral. Lineage: Eukaryota; Viridiplantae; Streptophyta; Jungermanniopsida; Jungermanniales; Cephaloziaceae.